UACGUAGGGUGCAAGCGUUGUUCGGAAUUAUUGGGCGUAAAGAGCUCGUAGGUGGUGUGUCGCGUCUGCCGUGAAAGCCCAUGGCUUAACUGUGGGUCUGCGGUGGAUACGGGCAGGCUGGAGGCUGGUAGGGGCAAGCGGAAUUCCUGGUGUAGCGGUGAAAUGCGCAGAUAUCGAGAGGAACACCUGCGGCGAAGGCGGGUUGCUGGGCUGACACUGGCGCUGAUUGUGCGAAAGCUAGGGGAGCGAACGGG
RNAcentral lists this ribosomal RNA (254 nucleotides) under uncultured bacterium. RNAcentral's name for it is "partial 16S ribosomal RNA". It matches the Rfam family "Bacterial small subunit ribosomal RNA", at positions 524 to 776 of the family's 1533-position model. The record is from RNAcentral.